GACGAACGCUGGCGGCGUGCUUAACACAUGCAAGUCGAGCGGAAAGGCCCUUCGGGGUACUCGAGCGGCGAACGGGUGAGUAACACGUGAGUAACCUGCCCCAGACUUUGGGAUAACCCUCGGAAACGGGGGCUAAUACCGGAUACGACACAGCUUCGCAUGGGGUCUGUGUGGAAAGUUUUUCGGUUUGGGAUGGGCUCGCGGCCUAUCAGCUUGUUGGUGGGGUGAUGGCCUACCAAGGCGACGACGGGUAGCCGGCCUGAGAGGGCGACCGGCCACACUGGGACUGAGACACGGCCCAGACCCCUACGGGAGGCAGCAGUGGGGAAUAUUGCACAAUGGGCGGAAGCCUGAUGCAGCGACGCCGCGUGAGGGAUGACGGCCUUCGGGUUGUAAACCUCUUUCAGCAGGGACGAAGCGUAAGUGACGGUACCUGCAGAAGAAGCGCCGGCCAACUACGUG
RNAcentral lists this ribosomal RNA (462 nucleotides) under uncultured bacterium. Its description in RNAcentral is "partial 16S ribosomal RNA". It matches the Rfam family "Bacterial small subunit ribosomal RNA", at positions 28 to 507 of the family's 1533-position model. The record is from RNAcentral.